This 468-nucleotide ribosomal RNA is filed under the name uncultured bacterium. RNAcentral's name for it is "partial 16S ribosomal RNA". It matches the Rfam family "Bacterial small subunit ribosomal RNA", at positions 28 to 507 of the family's 1533-position model. The record is from RNAcentral.
GACGAACGCUGGCGGCGUGCUUAACACAUGCAAGUCGAACGGAAAGGCCCUGCUUUUGUGGGGUGCUCGAGUGGCGAACGGGUGAGUAACACGUGAGUAACCUGCCCUUGACUUUGGGAUAACUUCAGGAAACUGGGGCUAAUACCGGAUAGGAGCUCCUGCUGCAUGGUGGGGGUUGGAAAGUUUCGGCGGUUGGGGAUGGACUCGCGGCUUAUCAGCUUGUUGGUGGGGUAGUGGCUUACCAAGGCUUUGACGGGUAGCCGGCCUGAGAGGGUGACCGGCCACAUUGGGCCUGAGAUACGGCCCAGACUCCUACGGGAGGCAGCAGUGGGGAAUAUUGCACAAUGGGCGGAAGCCUGAUGCAGCAACGCCGCGUGCGGGAUGACGGCCUUCGGGUUGUAAACCGCUUUCGCCUGUGACGAAGCGUGAGUGACGGUAAUGGGUAAAGAAGCACCAGCUAACUACGUG